This 484-nucleotide ribosomal RNA is filed under the name uncultured bacterium. RNAcentral describes it as "partial 16S ribosomal RNA". It matches the Rfam family "Bacterial small subunit ribosomal RNA", at positions 30 to 507 of the family's 1533-position model. The record is from RNAcentral.
AUUGAACGCUGGCGGCAGGCCUAACACAUGCAAGUCGAACGGAAGAACUGAACUUGCUUGUGGUUUCAGCGGCGGACGGGUGUGUAAUGCCUGGGAAUAUUCCUGGCUGCGGUGGAGAACGUGCGGAAACGGGCGCUAAUACCGCAUACUCUCAUAGGGCGCAAGUGGGGGAUCUGCGGAACUUACGCUCUUGCAUGAGCCUAGGUCGGAUUAGCUAGUUGGUGGGGUGGAGGCCUACCAAGGCGACGAAGCGUAACUGGUCGGAGAGGAUGAUCAGCCACACGGGAACUGAGACACGGUCCAGACUCCUACGGGAGGCCGCAGUGGGGAAUAUUGGACAAAGGGGGGAAGCCUGAUCCAGCCAUGCCGCGUGUGUGAAGAAGGUCUUCGGAUUGUAAAGCCCUUUUUGUGGGGAGGAAAGGCAGUAAGUUAAUACCUUGCUGUUGUGACGGUACCAACAGAAUAAGCACCGGCUAACUUCGUG